Molecule: ribosomal RNA, 247 nt
Filed under: uncultured bacterium
Lineage: Bacteria
Description: partial 16S ribosomal RNA
Rfam family: Bacterial small subunit ribosomal RNA
Source: RNAcentral
UACGUAGGGUGCGAGCGUUGCCCGGAUUUAUUGGGCGUAAAGGGCGCGUAGGCGGCCACGCACGUCCGUUGUGAAAUCGCCCGGCUCAACUGGGCGGGGUCAGCGGAUACGGUGUGGCUCGAGCAAGCUAGGGGGCAAUGGAAUUCCCGGUGUAGUGGUGGAAUGCGUAGAUAUCGGGAGGAACACCAGUGGCGAAGGCGGUUGCCUGGAGCUUUGCUGACGCUGAUGCGCGAAAGCGUGGGGAGCG